UACGAAGGGGGCUAGCGUUGUUCGGAAUCACUGGGCGUAAAGCGCACGUAGGCGGAUUGUUAAGUCAGGGGUGAAAUCCUGGAGCUCAACUCCAGAACUGCCUUUGAUACUGAGAAGCUUGAGUCCGGGAGAGGUGAGUGGAACUACGAGUGUAGAGGUGAAAUUCGUAGAUAUUCGCAAGAACACCAGUGGCGAAGGCGGCCAUCUGGGACAACACUGACGCUGAAGCACGAAAGCGUGGGGAGCAAACAGGG
Molecule: ribosomal RNA, 254 nt
Filed under: uncultured bacterium
Lineage: Bacteria
Description: partial 16S ribosomal RNA
Rfam family: Bacterial small subunit ribosomal RNA
Source: RNAcentral